GGGUGAAGGUGGCGGACGGGUGAGUAACGCGUAAAGAACUUGCCUUACAGACUGGGACAACAUUUGGAAACGAAUGCUAAUACCGGAUAUUAUGACUGAGUCGCAUGAUUUGGUUAUGAAAGCUAUAUGCGCUGUGAGAGAGCUUUGCGUCCCAUUAGUUAGUUGGUGAGGUAACGGCUCACCAAGACGAUGAUGGGUAGCCGGCCUGAGAGGGUGAACGGCCACAAGGGGACUGAGACACGGCCUUACUCCUACGGGAGGCAGCAGUGGGGAAUAUUGGACAAUGGACCAAAAGUCUGAUCCAGCAAUUCUGUGUGCACGAUGAAGUUUUUCGGAAUGUAAAGUGCUUUCAGUUGGGAAGAAGUCAGUGACGGUACCAACAGAAGAAGCGACGGCUAAAUACGUGCCAGAGCCGCGGUAAUACGUAUGUCGCAAGCGUUAUCCGGAUUUUAUUGGGCGUAAAGCGCGUCUAGGCGGUCUUAGUAAGUCUGAUGUGAAAAUGCGGGGCUCAACCCCGUAUUGCGUUGGAAACUGCUAAACUAGAGUACUGGAGCCCCUAGGCGGAACUACAAGUGUAGAGGUGAAAUUCGUAGAUAUUUGUAGGAAUGCCGAUGGGGAAGCCAGCCUACUGGUACUAGAUACUGACGCUAAAGCGCGAAAGCGUGGGUAGCAAACAGGAUUAGAUACCCUGGUAGUCCACGCCGUAAACGAUCCCCCCCUAGUGUUUGGGGUCGAACCUCAGCG
Molecule: ribosomal RNA, 744 nt
Filed under: uncultured Fusobacteriota bacterium
Lineage: Bacteria; Fusobacteriati; Fusobacteriota
Description: bacterial SSU rRNA
Rfam family: Bacterial small subunit ribosomal RNA
Source: RNAcentral